UUAAAUUGAAGAGUUUGAUCAUGGCUCAGAUUGAACGCUGGCGGCAGGCCUAACACAUGCAAGUCGAACGGUAACAGGAAGCAGCUUGCUGCUUUGCUGACGAGUGGCGGACGGGUGAGUAAUGUCUGGGAAACUGCCUGAUGGAGGGGGAUAACUACUGGAAACGGUGGCUAAUACCGCAUAAUGUCGCAAGACCAAAGAGGGGGACCUUCGGGCCUCUUGCCAUCAGAUGUGCCCAGAUGGGAUUAGCUUGUUGGUGAGGUAACGGCUCACCAAGGCGACGAUCCCUAGCUGGUCUGAGAGGAUGACCAGCCACACUGGAACUGAGACACGGUCCAGACUCCUACGGGAGGCAGCAGUGGGGAAUAUUGCACAAUGGGCGCAAGCCUGAUGCAGCCAUGCCGCGUGUAUGAAGAAGGCCUUCGGGUUGUAAAGUACUUUCAGCGGGGAGGAAGGUGUUGUGGUUAAUAACCGCAGCAAUUGACGUUACCCGCAGAAGAAGCACCGGCUAACUCCGUGCCAGCAGCCGCGGUAAUACGGAGGGUGCAAGCGUUAAUCGGAAUUACUGGGCGUAAAGCGCACGCAGGCGGUCUGUCAAGUCGGAUGUGAAAUCCCCGGGCUCAACCUGGGAACUGCAUUCGAAACUGGCAGGCUUGAGUCUUGUAGAGGGGGGUAGAAUUCCAGGUGUAGCGGUGAAAUGCGUAGAGAUCUGGAGGAAUACCGGUGGCGAAGGCGGCCCCCUGGACAAAGACUGACGCUCAGGUGCGAAAGCGUGGGGAGCAAACAGGAUUAGAUACCCUGGUAGUCCACGCCGUAAACGAUGUCUACUUGGAGGUUGUGCCCUUGAGGCGUGGCUUCCGGAGCUAACGCGUUAAGUAGACCGCCUGGGGAGUACGGCCGCAAGGUUAAAACUCAAAUGAAUUGACGGGGGCCCGCACAAGCGGUGGAGCAUGUGGUUUAAUUCGAUGCAACGCGAAGAACCUUACCUGGUCUUGACAUCCACAGAACUUUCCAGAGAUGGAUUGGUGCCUUCGGGAACUGUGAGACAGGUGCUGCAUGGCUGUCGUCAGCUCGUGUUGUGAAAUGUUGGGUUAAGUCCCGCAACGAGCGCAACCCUUAUCCUUUGUUGCCAGCGGUCCGGCCGGGAACUCAAAGGAGACUGCCAGUGAUAAACUGGAGGAAGGUGGGGAUGACGUCAAGUCAUCAUGGCCCUUACGACCAGGGCUACACACGUGCUACAAUGGCGCAUACAAAGAGAAGCGACCUCGCGAGAGCAAGCGGACCUCAUAAAGUGCGUCGUAGUCCGGAUUGGAGUCUGCAACUCGACUCCAUGAAGUCGGAAUCGCUAGUAAUCGUGGAUCAGAAUGCCACGGUGAAUACGUUCCCGGGCCUUGUACACACCGCCCGUCACACCAUGGGAGUGGGUUGCAAAAGAAGUAGGUAGCUUAACCUUCGGGAGGGCGCUUACCACUUUGUGAUUCAUGACUGGGGUGAAGUCGUAACAAGGUAACCGUAGGGGAACCUGCGGUUGGAUCACCUCCUUACCUGAAAGAA
RNAcentral lists this ribosomal RNA (1554 nucleotides) under Salmonella enterica subsp. enterica serovar Quebec str. S-1267. RNAcentral describes it as "bacterial SSU rRNA". It matches the Rfam family "Bacterial small subunit ribosomal RNA". The record is from RNAcentral. Lineage: Bacteria; Pseudomonadati; Pseudomonadota; Gammaproteobacteria; Enterobacterales; Enterobacteriaceae.